This 159-nucleotide small nuclear RNA is filed under the name Absidia repens. Its description in RNAcentral is "U2 spliceosomal RNA". It matches the Rfam family "U2 spliceosomal RNA". From Rfam's summary of the family: U2 is a small nuclear RNA (snRNA) component of the spliceosome (involved in pre-mRNA splicing). Lineage: Eukaryota; Fungi; Mucoromycota; Mucoromycetes; Mucorales; Cunninghamellaceae. The record is from Rfam by way of RNAcentral.
AUCCUCUCGGGCCUCUUGGUUACGAUUAAGAGUAGUAUCUGUUCUUUAUAGUUUAACAACUAAAAUGCCAUACUUGUAUGGCUGCUUUUUUUUCUAGGUUAUUUACGCCUAGAUCUAUGGGCUCUGACUUGCUACCUCAUGAAUCCAUUAAUAUCUCCU